CGUAGGGUGCGAGCGUUGUCCGGAAUUAUUGGGCGUAAAGAGCUCGUAGGCGGUUUGUCGCGUCGGCCGUGAAAACUGGAGGCUUAACCUCCAGCUUGCGGUCGAUACGGGCAGACUUGAGUUCGGUAGGGGAGACUGGAAUUCCUGGUGUAGCGGUGGAAUGCGCAGAUAUCAGGAGGAACACCGGUGGCGAAGGCGGGUCUCUGGGCCGAUACUGACGCUGAGGAGCGAAAGCGUGGGGAGCGAACAGGAUU
RNAcentral lists this ribosomal RNA (254 nucleotides) under uncultured bacterium. RNAcentral describes it as "partial 16S ribosomal RNA". It matches the Rfam family "Bacterial small subunit ribosomal RNA", at positions 526 to 779 of the family's 1533-position model. The record is from RNAcentral.